Molecule: transfer RNA, 76 nt
Filed under: Oscillospiraceae bacterium
Lineage: Bacteria; Bacillati; Bacillota; Clostridia; Eubacteriales; Oscillospiraceae
Also listed under: 1 other name
Description: tRNA-Lys
Rfam family: tRNA
About the family: Transfer RNA (tRNA) molecules are approximately 80 nucleotides in length. Their secondary structure includes four short double-helical elements and three loops (D, anti-codon, and T loops).
Source: RNAcentral
GAGCCAUUAGCUCAGUUGGCAGAGCAUUUGACUUUUAAUCAAAGGGUCCGGAGUUCGAGCCUCCGAUGGCUCACCA